GAGAGAGUGUGGAUUUAGAGGAGUCUUCGGGAAGCUGGGGCAGCUCAAGGAUUGCGUACGCGAAAAGCUCUACACAGGACAACUCAGAAGAGACAUUUGCUGCCAUCGUAAUUCACUGUGGAAAUACUGCUGCCGCCGACGCAGCCGUGCCCUGCCCGCAGACGCCUUGCUUGUACCUGGUAAGGACAGCUCACCCAGUGGGACCAAAGAGAGAUCCCCUUCUACCAGCUUCCAGGACAGGCUUCGUAACCUCUCCCCACCUCUCGAGUUUAAUGCCCUGCUAUCACCGCCUUGAAAGCCUUAAUAAUUUUUGGAACAAAAGAUCGGCAUUUUCAAUGUCCCACACAUUGCAUAACCGUGACCAUCUCUCAUGGGUGAGGAAACGGAACUGCUGAAGCUUUGAACCUGUGUGUCUGGCCACAGACUUGCUGACCCUGGCUGUAGCCGCUACAGUUUCCUUAACUAAAUUGUCCGGGAGUGGGGAGACAGAUGGAUGCUUUUCCCACCUUCUCCACUUUCACCAUUCUAACUCCCUGAUCACUGCCUGGUCUCUCAAGACUUGGGGUUCAGUUUGGUUAAUUUAACAGAAGUCACCGGUAAAUCAGCUUUGGAAAAACGCGAGAGAGGGUGCCUCCUCUUCCCAGGCCAGAGAUGGGUCUCCCCCUAGUGUCUCCUAGGGGAAUCUUUGCUUUUGCUUUUUGUUUUCCCCUUGGAGGUGAUUUUUAGGUAAUUCCUAAAAUUUCAAGAGUUUAGCAGCCAGGGAAUUCCCAGCCAGCUUUUUGGCCCAUGGCUUCUCCCCCGCAGGGCUGGCGAUCAUAGCGUCCUUUGGUCCCUGGGUCACACCAGAGGCCAGUGCUCCUCACCUGGUGAGGUGGCUUCUGGGUGCAUGGGAAGAAUGACCCACAGGAGCCCACACCACGGUGCUGGGAAGCAGGAGUUGCCAUGGGGUUGAAUGAGCCAGGGUCACCUCAUCUCUCAGCCUGGAUUCCCAGGAUGGAGAGGUUGCCAUGGGGUUGAAUGAGCCAGGGUCACCUCGUCUGCUCCCCUCCUCCACCUUGCCUUGCAACUGCCUGAACCCUGCUUUCUCUGCAUCAGUGGUUUUCAAAUGUUGCCGUGCCUCACAAUUACCUGGAGGGCUUGUUAAAUCACUAAUUACUGGGCUCCAACUCCAGAGUUUCUGAGCCAGUUUAUCUGGGGCUGGGGAUUUUGCUUUUAUGACAAGUUCCCAGACAGUGUUGAUAUGCUGGUCCAAGGACCCUACUUCUUUAGAUGGAAGGUGGUGAUAAGAGAAGGGGGCUUCUCUGCCUUGGCCCCGCCCCCCCAAGCAGGUGAAGUUCAGUAGGACAUGACUGAGAAAAACCCAAUAGAGAGCUAUUGCGCAAUACUUUCUGCUGCGUGUUAACAAAAGAAAGCGCAGUUUGCCUUUGUGAUAUCUUAUUCUCAUCACUCCCACUUUUUCUGCAAGCACUUCUCUCGGGGUUGUUGCAGAAACCUGUAUUGCAUAUAAACAUUUGCUUGUAUCCACCCUCUGUUAUCCAUCCAUCUCUUCACAGGCUUGAGACCUGUUCCGAGAUUGCUCCCUCCAGCUUUGGGAGGGCAGUGGGCUGGGUAAGCUCCAGGGUGUGGACCAAGCCUGAGCUCUGGUGACAGCUUGGUGUGGCAAGAAGAAGGGACCUGGCAAAGAGCGUCUCACUGGAAGGCUAAGUUUGAAAUGCCAUUUGUGAAACAAUUGCCAAUAGUCACCAUCUCUAUCCCCUUCCCCCCAAGCAUGAAUUUGGGAAGCUCAGCCUGGAUUCCCAGGAUGGAGAGGCUCAUGGGAUGAGUGUCUCCUCUAGCCCUGGGAAACUGAUGACCCUCUGGAGCAGCUGGGCAUAAGCCCCUUUCCCAGUUCCUGAGCUGUCCAGAAAAAAAUGCUCAGGUUUUUCACAUUGUGGCGGAGUGGAAACGAAUCUGACUGGGGACCAUGGGACUGUGGGUUCGAUCCCUGACCUAGCUCAGUGGGUUGAGGAUCCAGCAUUGCCAUGAGCAUAGAUCACAAAUGCGGCUCAGAUCUGGCAUUGCUGUGGCUCUGGCCUAGGCUGGCGGCAACAGCUCCCACUGGGCCCCUAGCCAGGGAACCUCCAUAUGCCGCGGGUGCAACCCUUAAUAAAAGAGCCAAAAAGAAAAAAAAAUGCUCAGGUUUUGUUUUCCCUCUUUAGCUCCAAUUUGGAGGAGUGCUGGGGCUUCUCUUAGCCCUGAAGCAGGGAAGAGAUCGGGCAGGGCCAGAGCCCUCCAUUUGGCUUCUGGGAUGGGAAUAGAGAUGAAAACGGAGAUAACAUAACUUCAUGUAACCCAUCCAAAAAGUUCAUCAAGUUUAUCUUAAGGCUCAUCUCCCUGAGCUAAGAAAUGGAGGUCAAGGGAGUUAGCUGACUUUCCAAACCCCAGUAGGAGGUUCUCUGCCUGGGUCUUGCCUCUUCUGAUGCCGGAUUGGCCAGCCCAGUCCCCUUCUUCCCUGUAAGAGCAUCUUCUCCAAUCACUCACACACACACACACACACACACACACACACGCAGUUCAUUCCUCCUUUCCCAGGGAAGAAGUACUAAAUAAACUCUAAUCUCGUGGUAGGGUCAAG
This 2614-nucleotide long non-coding RNA is filed under the name Sus scrofa (pig). RNAcentral's name for it is "lncRNA (ENSSSCG00040004384.1)". Lineage: Eukaryota; Metazoa; Chordata; Mammalia; Artiodactyla; Suidae. The record is from RNAcentral.